Molecule: ribosomal RNA, 497 nt
Filed under: uncultured bacterium
Lineage: Bacteria
Description: partial 16S ribosomal RNA
Rfam family: Bacterial small subunit ribosomal RNA
Source: RNAcentral
GAUGAACGCUGGCGGCGUGCCUAAUACAUGCAAGUCGAGCGAACAGACGAGGAGCUUGCUCCUCUGACGUUAGCGGCGGACGGGUGAGUAACACGUGGAUAACCUACCUAUAAGACUGGGAUAACUUCGGGAAACCGGAGCUAAUACCGGAUAAUAUAUUGAACCGCAUGGUUCAAUAGUGAAAGGCGGUUUUGCUGUCACUUAUAGAUGGAUCCGCGCCGCAUUAGCUAGUUGGUAAGGUAAUGGCUUACCAAGGCGACGAUGCGUAGCCGACCUGAGAGGGUGAUCGGCCACACUGGAACUGAGACACGGUCCAGACUCCUACGGGAGGCAGCAGUAGGGAAUCUUCCGCAAUGGGCGAAAGCCUGACGGAGCAACGCCGCGUGAGUGAUGAAGGUCUUCGGAUCGUAAAACUCUGUUAUUAGGGAAGAACAAAUGUGUAAGUAACUAUGCACGUCUUGACGGUACCUAAUCAGAAAGCCACGGCUAACUACGUG